GAAAAGGUUUUUUUUAAAACCAGCAUUAUAUAACAGAACAAAGAG
Molecule: non-coding RNA, 45 nt
Organism: Gallus gallus (chicken)
Lineage: Eukaryota; Metazoa; Chordata; Aves; Galliformes; Phasianidae
Source: Rfam